GAGAGAGAGAGAGACAGAGAGAGGAGUGUCAUAUUCUGAAGUUGUUAAAUAGUUUUCAGAAAGUUCUUCAAGAGUUUCUCAUAUUCACAAAUUUGAAUCUCAAAAACAGAAUAAUGAAGCACAGAAGCCAACUUUAGAACAAACAUUAUUAGUUAGAUUAGCAUGGUAGCACAUAUCAGAUAUAUCUCCCUCAGAAGUAGUUCACAAC
RNAcentral lists this unclassified non-coding RNA (208 nucleotides) under Hevea brasiliensis (rubber tree). The record is from RNAcentral. Lineage: Eukaryota; Viridiplantae; Streptophyta; Magnoliopsida; Malpighiales; Euphorbiaceae.